RNAcentral lists this long non-coding RNA (4502 nucleotides) under Nicotiana benthamiana. RNAcentral's name for it is "long non-coding RNA (NBEN_LNC007810)". Lineage: Eukaryota; Viridiplantae; Streptophyta; Magnoliopsida; Solanales; Solanaceae. The record is from RNAcentral.
AAAUGAAAGAACUCUGUUGGGAGUAUAAUCUAAGGUCCCUCUCCAUUGUAACCGCGGUAAUCCUAUCAUAGCCAGCGUCACGGUCUUGGCGUGACAAUCAAGAAUAGCAUAUGGGGAGACAAAAAGUACAUGCCUAAUAUAAUAUCAAAAUCUACCACACUAAACAAUAAUAAAUUGGCUCUGGUCUCAAAGCCACUAAUAACAACCAAACACAACUGAUAUACAUGAUGAACAAUAUUAGAAUCUCCCACAGGUGUAGGCACAUAAAUAGGAGAACUCAUAAAAAAUCAUGGGAUAUGACUAGAUACGCAGCAAAAUAAGAUGACACAUUAGAAUAAAUGGAGCCUGAAUCAAAUAAAAUUGACACAUCUCUAUGAUAGACAAGAACAAUACCGGUAAUGAUAGAGUCGAAAGCAACUACCUCUAUAUGAGCAGAAAGAGCAUACUAUCUGGCAUGGCCUCCCCAGCUAGGUUGAGCUCUACCCCCCUGAGUUCCACUUUGAGAUGGCUAAGCAGGUGGAGUGGUAGAUGGUGCUGUGAUCAUAGCCUGAGGAUCCGAUGGAGCACGCGAUGCUCGAGAAGUAUUUGGAGGUGCACCGAUCCUAAUUUGGGGAAAUCCCUCACCAUAUGGAUAGUGUUGCCACACUCAAAACAACUCUCAAAGGGCGUGGCUACUAUGGCUGAGUCGGGCCUGAUUUAAUGGACGGAUCGCUAAAAGCACCCCGUGAAAGAGGCAUACUAGAUACUGGCGGAGCAUAAUAAAGCUACUGAGGCCUAGGAGUAACCGGAAUACCACGGCAGCUAGAAGAGAAAAAUGAACUGUAGUUGGGGUACGAGUACUAGUCUACAUUCCAGACUCUCGAGACCUCUUGGCGUCUCUCUCCUCUUUUUUCCGAGUAAGCAUGCACUCCACUCUCCUAGCUAUACUCACAACCUGCUAGUAUGAAAUAUCCACCUCCAACUCCCGGACCAUGCUAGUCUUGAUGCUGGGAUGGAGCCCCUCGAUAAAUUGAAGGACCCUCUCUUGAACAGCAGCAACAAAGGCCAAUGAAUGUCUAGCCAAAUCACUGAAACGAACUGCAUACUCUGACAUAGUCAUAGAAUCCUUGCGCAACUGCUCAAACUCGGCAUGCCAUGCAUCUUUGAGGCUCUAGGGAACAUAUUGCCUCAAAAAUAUAUCCGAGAAAUUAGUCCAUAUAAGUAAAGUUGCCUCAGCUAUACUGUCCAAAUCAUAAGCAUGCCUCCACUGCUAGGUUGCUCCAAUGUAGUGAAAUAAACCACACUCGACUCGGCUAUGCCCAUAGUAGAAAGGUUACAGUGGCACUCCUCAAGAAAUCCCUAAGCAUCCUCUGUUGUCAAACCACUGCAAGAAGGAGGGUGGUACUUUUUAUACCUCUCGAGCCUAUGCUGCUCCUCCUUAGAAGCAUCUGCCCUAACCUCGAGAUAAACUGGGGCUAGAGGUGGCACAGAUAUAGCCUCUGGAAACUGAUCGAUCUGAACCUGCUGCUCUGGGGUACGAGCGGUAAGAGUUUAUGCUCCUCCCCCGGCCUGAGAUGUGGUAGGAACAAGGGGAAUCAACCCUGAUUUAGCUGGAGUACAGAACAUGUUAAUGAACUGUGCAAGCGUUUCCUAAAUGGAUAGUGCAGUAGUAGGCAUCUCAGGUGCUUGCGCUCCGGCUAGAGCUACUGGUGGCUCCUUUGUGGCAGAUCAUGCAGGUGCUCUAGCUGCACCAUGUGGACGUCCUACCCUGACCCCAGCCUUUGGCGGCUCUAGUAGGGGGAGUGAGUGCGUGGUCAUCUAAUCUGGAUGAAUGUGUCCUCACUAUCGGUAAGAGAAUAGACGACAAAUUUUUAGAAUUUCGAAGCCAAAACUUUUACACGACAAGGAAUCAAAAGACAAGUACAGCUUUAUAUUCUCCCUAAGAUAAGUACAGACGUAUCUGCACCGAUCUGCAAGAUUUUUCUAAACCUGCUUUUGAUUCACGACACUUAUGAACCUAGAGCUCUGAUGCGAACUUAUCUCGAUUCAAAUUCUCCCUCCAUGAGAUGUUGUGACGGCACCUAGUCUCUACGACUAGGUAACCCUAACAUUUCGAAAUAAUGAAAAUGAAAGGAUAAAUUUAACAGCUAACUACGACAAAUAAUUUAGCAACUGAUAUAAGUGUCGCUCGGCAUGUAGAAUAACCACCGUCAAAUAUACAUAGAGAAUCUCCCCAAAACCUAGAACAUCAUAAGUCAUAAGCUUUUACAAAUUUUCCUAACUGUUUUUAUACAUCAGUAAUUAGAAGAAGUAAAGAAAAAACAACAUAAAAAAGGAUCGAGGGGGACUCCGAGGUCUGUGGACGCGGGCAGAUGUACCUUGAAUUCUUCAAAGCAGCAAUGAGUAUGCAACUAAAAGCAAGGAUAGCAGGAGGUACCUAGAUCUUCACACAAAAAUAUGUGCAGAAAAGUAGCAUGAUUACACCACAACGGUACCCAGUAAGUGCCAGAAUUCUAUUGUUAUGUAUACAUAAAAAAUAUUUUAAAAAAGGAAAAAUGAAAGAAUAAUAGCAGGGGAUCUCCCAAGAUACUGUCUCGUAGCCCUAAAAGUAUAUGUGUAGGUGGAUUUACUGGAAUAACAUUCAAUAGUCCCAAAGUAAAUACGCAAGGGGAUCUCCUGGGAUAUUCUCCUGUAGUCCCAAAGUAAAAAUACAGAGGGAUCUCCCGAAAUAUCGUUCUAUAGGCCCAAAGUAAUUAUGCAUCUCAAACAAUGGAAUCAACAGUUACAACAUGAAAUCCUACAAUUUAGACUAAGUAGAAGUCAAGGAAGAAGCAGGAAAUCCACUAAGCACGCUGCACAAAAUUCAGAGAAGAAUUUUAGAUGCAUAGACAUACUAUUUUAGGCUAAACAAUAUAUCACACAUGCUAGUAUAACUCAAUUAAGAUAAACAAGUUACUACUUAAUGAAAAUCAGAGGUUUACAACAAAUAGCCCGUGUAUGCACUGGUCACUUCACGUACACAACGCUCACAUAUCACAACAGUACUAAAUCCUAAGGGGAGUUCCCCACGCAAAUUUAGGCAAUGCACUUACCUUGAAUCAGGCUCAAUCAAUCGGUUACAAUGCCUUCUCCACAAAUAUUCGAUUAUGAAUGGUCCAAAUCUAGCCAAAAGCAAAUACAUAUCAUAAAUACAACUAUAAUAGACUAAUCUAAUUAAUGAAAUCAAGAUUUUAAUAAGAAAUUCUAAAAUGCCCUAUAAAGUCGACCAAGGCCCACGUCUUGGAAUCGAGUAAAAAUCACAAAAUAUGAAUAUCCAUUCUUCCACUAGUUCACUCGUACCAAAAUUAUCCAAAUCCGAUAUAAAAUCUCAAUCAAAACUCAAAAUCUUAGUUGAAGAAAUCUUCCAAUUUUUCUAAAAUUUCAACCCAAAUUCAAAAUUAAAAGAUAGAAUUAAUGAUAGAUUAGUGGGAUACAAUAAAAAUCAAGUGAAGAAUCGUUACCCAAUUGAUGUAUCUGGAAAUCUCUCAAAAUCGCGUCUAAAUCCGAGCUCUCUGACUCAUGUUUUGAUAAAAAUAGUUAAGCCUUAAUUUUGAAAUGUUAUAUUCUGCCUACUUCCUUCUUCACGAACGUGGAAGGACCUUCGUGUUCGUGAAACAUAAAUUUUCUUCAGCCUAAAAAUAUUUAUCGCGAACGCGAAGCUUACUCUACUCGAACCUAUGCGAACGCGAGACCAAGAUCGCGAACGCAUAGGCAAAACGCCUGGGGACCCUAGUGGAUCAACUUCUUCUACGCGAACGCAAGACCUUCAUUACGAACACAUAGACUUAUGACUUCAGAGCUUCGCAAAUGUGGGACCAACAUCACGAACGCGAAGCAUAAAAUUCCACCUACCUCUAGUUCCUCUUCAUGAACGUGGGGCUUUCGCCGCGAAGGCGAAGAAGGAAAAUAGAACUGGAGAAUACCAAAAAUCUGCAAUUUUCCUAAGUCCAAAAAUGAUUUGUUAACCACCCGAAAUCAACCCGAGGCCCGCGGGACCUCAACCAAACAUACCUACUAGUCCUAAAACACCCUACGAACUUAUUUGAGCCCAUAAAACACCUCAAACGACAACAAAAAGACGAAUCACCCUCCAAUCCAAACUUAAUGAACUUGAAACAUUAAAUUUUUACAACCGAUGCUGAAACCUAUCAAACACGUCCGUUUGACUCCAAAAUAUGCACACAAGACAUAUUCAAUCUGACGGACUUAAUCCAACCUUCAAAAUCAGAAUUCGACCCCUAUAUCAAAAAGUCCACUUCUAGUCAAAAUCUCCAAAAUUCGACUUUCACCAUUCAAGCCUAUAUCAGCUACAUACCUCAAAUUAAUAGUCCAGACACACACCCAAGUCCAAUAUCACCCAAUAAAGCUAACAGAACCAAUAAAACUCCAUUCCGGAAUUGUCUUCACACAGUUCCGACUAUUGAAAAAAUCCUAUAACUUAAGCUUCCGUUUUAGGGACAAAGUAUCCCAAAACACUCCAAAAC